RNAcentral lists this ribosomal RNA (462 nucleotides) under uncultured bacterium. RNAcentral's name for it is "partial 16S ribosomal RNA". It matches the Rfam family "Bacterial small subunit ribosomal RNA", at positions 28 to 506 of the family's 1533-position model. The record is from RNAcentral.
GACGAACGCUGGCGGCGUGCUUAACACAUGCAAGUCGAACGGUGAACCUCUUCGGAGGGGAUCAGUGGCGAACGGGUGAGUAACACGUGGGCAACCUGCCCCCGGCUCUGGGAUAACUCCAAGAAAUUGGGGCUAAUACCGGAUGUUCACCGCUUCCCGCAUGGGUGGUGGUGGAAAGGGUUUCCGGCUGGGGCUGGGCCCGCGGCCUAUCAGCUUGUUGGUGGGGUAGUGGCCUACCAAGGCGACGACGGGUAGCCGGCCUGGGGGGGUGACCGGCCACAAGGGGAAGGAGAAACGGCCCAGAAUCCGAGGGGAGGCAGCGGGGGGGAAAAUGGGGCAAGGGGGGGAAGCCGGACGCAGGGACGCCGGGGGGGGAAGGACGGCUUUGGGGUUGAAAACCUUUUUAAGCGGGAACGAAGGGAAAGGGAGGGUACCGGCAAAAGAAGCACGGGACAAAUAAGG